This 21-nucleotide microRNA is filed under the name Alligator mississippiensis (American alligator). Its description in RNAcentral is "ami-miR-15a-3p". Its record names the gene ami-miR-15a-3p. The record is from miRBase by way of RNAcentral. Lineage: Eukaryota; Metazoa; Chordata; Crocodylia; Alligatoridae. RNAcentral also lists the same sequence under 1 other name.
CAGGCCAUAUUGUGCUGCCUC